UAUGAAUAUUUACUAAAUGCCAAACAAAACCUCACAGACAUAAUGAUUGAUUCACAUAAAAAGUAAUUAAUUUUAAACUUGACUAAUGAUUAAUAAUAAAUGUUUAUGUAUAUUUCUUUAAUUAUAUUUUAAUAUAUAAAAACAAUUUACUUUUCAUUUUCAUUUAAUUAUCAUAUGUUAUUUUUAGGACAGUUAUUUCUGCAUUACAUGUAUGGCUAGAUUCAUAUCCAGAAGAUUUUCGUGAUCCACCAUUACAUACAUGUUUAAGAUGUUUGCAUUCAUUCACAUAUACUUAUUUGCCUAAAACUGAACUUCAUUUAAAAGCAACAUAUAGACUAGAAAAAUUCCUUAAAGAAUGUAAUCAGUUAGGUAGGUUGAGUUAAUAAUAUACCCUUUUAUUUAAACUUAACAUUUUUUUUUUUUUCAGAUACUACAUAUAUAAAUGACAAAUAUGAUUUGGUGAUGACUAGUAAUUCACAUUCCUCUUACAAUUUUCCUAACAUAGCAGAAAGACAUUUUGCUGAGCAGUUGACCAGAAUGGAUCGUGUAUGUAUUUCGAAACAAAUAUUUUAUUAUAUUUAUCUAUUUACUAUUUAUUAGUAUAUUUCAUUUAAAAUGUAUCUUUAAUUGCAUUAAAAAGAUGUCAUACCACUCAUAAUUUAAGUAGAAAAACUAUUUUGUGUGGGGCAAAUUUUUUUCACUAUAUUAACAAUAGAAUUACCUAAAUUUUACAUUGUAUGAAGAAUAAUUUUAUCUAUGUUGGGUGCAUAUUUUUUUGAUAACAAAUAAAAAUUUUAAACUCGUCUAUCUGUUAGUAAAUUGUUUUUUUUUUUUUUUUUUUUUUUUCAUUUACUUAUAAAAAAAAAUAAACAGUAGUACUAUUAAAAUAAUAAGCACAAUAAGAUAGAUAAAGUUAUUCUUUAUGUGUUCUGAAAUUUAAAUUUUAUCUAUUAUAAUACAAUAAGUAAUAUAAUAAAUAAUAAUAUAAUAAGUAGCAAGACUGUUCACUGCAAAAAUAUUUGUCCAUAUAUAUUAGUUCAUUUCAUGAUUACACAAUAAACACUUGUAAUAAUGGCAAAAGAAUACAAUUUACAUAUAGUCACCUAUACAUUUAUUUGAAAGUGAAUUUAAAUAUUUUGUUUAUUGAUGAAUGUUUGUUAUUUUAAAAUGCAUUUACAUCAACCCUUAAAUAUUGGGUGUGUAGCAUCCUUUAAAUGUAUGUAUAAAUAUUACCUUAUUGUUAUAGGAUGUAUUGAAAGAUAUGGUAUCUCAUCAAUGCCUUGGUGCUGUUUGGUCUAAAAAUAAAAGAACGGGAUCUGCACCUACAGUUCUGGCAACAAUUGACCAGUUUAAUGCUGUAUCACUAAGAGUUAUUAGUACAGUUUUAUUAGCAAUUAAUUCAGUAAGAACACGUAUCAUUGAAACUUGGAUUAACAUAGCACAAGUAAGUAUAAUGAAAUGGGUCCCUAAGUAUAUACCUUUAAAAUCAUUCAAUAAUAUAAAGAAAAACUAAAUUAACUAGAAAUUUAAAUUAUAUGUCUGUAUAAAAUCAAAUAUAAAAAUGUAAUUUAUUUAUUUAACAAUUGAAAAUAAUUAUCAUAUUAUAUAAAAAGUUUAAAAUUAGACUAUCCUUAUAACCCCAUAAAUUAAUGCAAAAUUUAACCUAAAUAUAAAAUAAAAAUAUAUUUGAAUGAUUCUGAAAUUCAUAUUUUAAUUAAUACUUUACAUAAAUAAAUUAUUAUAAUAAGCUAAUUUUAAAUUUUAUACAGUCAAAAAUUAACUGUUUUUUAAUUUGUUUUUUUUUUUUAUAUGUAUAAAAAACACCUUCAAGCAGCAGUUUUGUCGCCAAAAUCAAAUUUUCUAUAAGCCAUUACAAUAUUUCAUUUUUUUUUUUUUUUUUGUAGUUGACUUUUAUUUAAUUUCAUAGGAAUUAAGGGUACUUAAGAAUUUUUCAUCAUUGAAAGCAAUUAUAUCAGGUCUACAAUCAAAUUCUGUGUUUCGAUUAAAAAAAACAUGGCAUUCUCUUCCUAGAGAUAAGGUAUUAGUGAUUUAAAUAUUCAAAUCAUAAUAGUAAAUUUUUUUAAUCCAGUUAUCUUUUAAAAAAUAAUAUUUGUUCUUAAAGCUGGAAUUGUUUCAAGAACUUGCAAGAAUAUUUAGUGAAGAAAAUAACCAGUGGGCCCAAAGAAAAUUGUUAAUAAAGGAGGGUACAGCUAAAUUUGCUGACACAUUUGGACACAAUGAUAGGCAUUUACAAAAAUUAAUUCAAAAACAACAAAGUACUAUGAGUGUAAGUUACCAGUUGUAAUAAAAAAUUAUACUAAUAUUUAUAUAUUAGUAUUGCAGGUUAUGUAACGCACAUUUUAAUAAUUAUUAUUUAAUAUUAAAUCAAUAUAAUUCAAUUUCUUAGUAUUAUUGUUUUUUAAAAAAAAAAUAUUGAUUUUAUGUAGAAAUUAAACAUUGGAACUAUUCCAUACUUGGGGACAUUUCUUACUGAUUUAACUAUGAUUGAUGCAGCCAUCCCUGAUAUUUUACCAGAUGGUUUAAUCAACUUUGAUAAAAAACGAAAAGAAUUUGAAGUUUUAGCUCAGGUAUGUAUUGUUUAGAUUUUAAUUUGAUAAAUAUUAAAAUGUUUACUGAAGUUGAUAAUAGUUUGGAAUGUUUACAAAUAUUAUUUUUUUUUUGUUUUAGAUCAAGCUUUUGCAAGGUGCUGCUAAUUCAUAUAAUAUAUCUGAUGAUGUAGUAUUUGACCAAUGGUUUCACUCAAUAUUAGUUUUGGAUGACAGAGAAGCAUUUAGAAUUUCUUGUCAAAUAGAAAUUCCAGACAAUUUACCUCCAUCCUGUACAAAUUCAAUUAUUGGAACAGGAAAGAAACAAAAGUAUAUAAAAUAUGAUAUUAUGUAAAAACAUUAAAAUUUCAAAAUGAUAAAUCUAAUCAAGUGAUAAUAUUUGAAUAAUGUCAUUACAGUUAUGAACAUAAGAAAAAUGAUUCAAUUUCUAGUAAUUUUAGUACUAAAAGCUACUAUGGUUUAUCUGAUGAUGGUUUACAAUCACCAAACAACUCAAUUGAUAAACAGGUAAAAUUUCUAAAUAAUGAAUUAUGUUUAAAUUAUAUCUUGUUAUUUUUUUUUUUUUUUUUUAAUUAAGAUCAUUAAUUUCUUAUAACAAUUAUUUUUGAGAUAAGCAUAAAUUGCCAAUAGUUCAUUCUACAAUUAAUUUUAUAUAAACGAAUUAGUUAUUUAACUAUGAAUGAUAGAGUGAUCAUUGAAAGUAAUAUUAUUAUUAAAGAAUGCCUAAAUUAUUGAAGAAUGUUUGAUUUUAGGAUUCAUUAUUUGAUUUAUCAUCUUCAUCAAGUAACUAUUCUAUGAAAUCAUUUGAUAUGUCCUUGAAUGGAAGCCAUAAUACAAAUACUUUGGUUAAACACAAUGUUAACAAUUCAACAUUGAACACUUCUCCUGAUUUUUAUAUUAUUAGAAUUACUGUGGAUGCUAACAAUGUUGAGACUGAUGGUAUGUUUUAUUUAUUAUUUAAUAAAGGGUGAUCAACUACAAGAUACUCAUUAUCUUUUUUUUUUGUCAUUUGUCACUAAAGUAACUAUUCAAUCAAUAAAAAAAAAAAAACUAUAUCUGCCAAUCUUUAUCAUUAAAUUUUGAUAAUAUAGGGUUUUCCAAUUAGAGCGGGCCAAUCUUAUCUGCGCUGUAUAGCCUUAUCGUUUUGUUGAAUUUUGUCGAAAUACAAAACGAACACGUUCUAUUAGAAUGAAUACAUAAAUAACUGAAUAUCAUAUAUUUAAUAUACUACUUUUUUUUUUGUAGUAUGUUUCUAUCUAUGUUAUGUUAUAAUGAAGUAUAAAAGAAAAUUGUAAUUGUGUAUAAGUAUAGGGUUUUCCAAUUAGAGUGGGCCGAUCUUAUCUGCGCUGUAUAGCCUUAUCGUUUUGUUGACGUCUGUCUAAUUUAUUGUUUAUUAUUCAGUCACUAAUGCCAAAUCAUCAUGGUUAGUUACACUAUAGAGCAGCGCGUCCAAAUUAUAAAAUUUUAUUAUCAAAAUAAAUGUUCGGUAGUUCAAACUUUGCGCUCGUUACGUCCAUUUUUUGGCCGACGUAGUGGUCCUUCAAAGUCGACUCUCCAACGUUUGGUGUCGAAAUUUGAGACAAAUGGUUCGGUAAACGAUCAGUUAACACCCGUACGUCAAAGAAACGCCAGAUCGGUCCAGAAUAUCGCCGCGGUACGUGAAAGUGUGCAGGAGAACCCGAGGCAGUCAAUUCCUCGCCGUGCACAAGAACUCGGUCUUUCACAGUCUUCAACUUGGCGAAUUUUGCGCCGGGACUUGGGCUUACACCCAUAUAAGAUCCAACUGACCCAGGAGCUCAAAAUUAAUGACCAUAGACAACGCCGAUUGUUUGCUGACUGGGUUUNAAGCGCAUUUUUGGAUGAAUGGCUAUGUUACAAGCAAAAUUACCGUAUUCGGGACAAUACCAACCCACACGAGGUUCAACUGGUAACAAUGUAUCGACAAAAAGUUACUGUUUGGUGCGGAUUUUGGGCCGGCGGUAUCAUUGGUCCGUACUUUUUUGAAAAUGACGUUCGUGAGGCCAUCACCGUCAAUGGUGAGCGAUACAGAACGAUGAUAACCAAUUUUUUUUUUUCCCAAAAUGAACGGUAUGGACGUAGACGACAUGUGGUUUCAGCAGGAUGGCACUACGUGCCAUACAUCCAACGCCACGAUAGCCAUUCUGAACGGCAAAUUUGAGGGUAUGGUUAUCUCUCGCCGAUGAGACGUGAAUUGGCCACCAAGAUCGUGUGAUUAGACCCCAUUAGACUUUUUCUUGUGGGGUUUCCUGAAGUCGCAGGUCUAUGCCGAUAAGCCAAAAUCAACAGAUGACCUUAAAGUGAACAUAACCCAGGCCAUCGCUCGAAUUCAACCGGAUAUAUGCGGCAGAGUCAUUGAAAAUUGGACCACUCGGAUUCGUGCCACUGUGAGAAGCCGUGGCGGACAUUUAAACGAUAUUAUAUUCAAAACAUAAUUGGCAUACUUAGAACUUUAAAAUAAAAAAAAAAUUUCACUAAUACCUCGCACAUAGCUUGUUUUAUUUCAUUUCAACAUCCACCCGCUCUUAUUGAAAAACCCUAUAUAUCUUUAAGAUGCUUCAGUAUAAACAUUUUCAAACCUUUAAUGAUUACUAUAGUAUAUUUAUAUAAACAAAUUCAAUUAUUUUAGGAAUAGUAUUAUACAAAAGCAUUAUAUUAAAUAAUAAUGAGCGAACACCUCAAGUCAUCCGAAAUGCUAUGUUAAAAUUUUGUAUUGACGAUAAUCCUGAAAAUUAUACUUUAUCUCAAGUUUUACCAGAUAAAGGUCAGUAGACAAUUUUAUUAAUACUUAAAUUCUGUAUUGUACGACUAUUUAUAUAUAAUAUAAUUUUCCUUUGAACAUUUCAGAAAUGGUUUUACCAACCAAUGCCAAUGUUUAUUAUGCAAUGAAUACAGAGUAUGACUUAAACUUUUUAUUACGUAAAAAAAUGUUGAUAAACAAUACAAUUCCUAAAAAAUAAAUUGUUUAAACUAAGAACUGACUAGUAAAAUCAUAAUGAUAUUUUAUUUUAUUUAUUGUAUAUGUAUAUUAUAUGUACAAAAAAACAAAAAUUAUUAUAAUAAAAUAAAUUGUAUUAUCAUUUAUAUCCUAUUUAUCCUUAAGUUUUCAUAGGGUUUCAUAGUUCAUUUUGUUUUUGGGCAUUUUGAAUAUGAAAAGAGCUGAUACUUAGGUAUGGGUGUGGUCACUAUUUUAGUUUGGCAGUUGAGAAGGUAUGAUACAUAAAGUUAUUUAAUAUACCUGUAACCAAAGAUAAACCAUUACUAAUUCGGUUAUGCAUGUUUUGAAAAACUGUAAUAUUUACAAUUAUCGACAAAAUUUAAUUUUAAAACUUAUAAAAAAUAAAUACUACAUUACACUCAUUUUUUUUUUUUUUUUUUACCACUAAGUUCAACAAAUUAUCAAGCAUUUUUAUUAAGUCUAACAAUUUUAUCAGUGGUGAAAUAUUGAAAGGAAAAAAUAAAAAUUUUGUCAUAUUUCUGGUAGAAAAAUGAUGUACACAUCACAUUUAAAACAAUGAAACCAGUAACUCCAUGGCACAUACUAUUAUUUUAUAAAUGCUUAAGUAGGUAAAUAUUUGUUUUUCCAUUUAAAAAAUGUGCCUAAUAUUAUAUAUAUGCAUAAUUAAUAUUUUGUUUUUUAUUUUUAGGUUAUAAAAUUAAAACUAUGCCAGGUCACAAUGAGACAAUACAGAUUCAAAACAUAUUGCCCAUACUAAGUUAACAAAAAUUAAACAAAAUAUGAAAAAAAUUAAAAUAUUUUGUUUGUUUUGUUUCUUUUUUCAUUUGUCUACACAUACUAAAAAACUUUAUUUCAAAAUUAUAAUGCCAACACAAUACUUUUGAUGUUUACCUAUGUUAUUAGAAAAAAUAUAAUUAUUUUAAUUUUGUCACAGUGACAUAAGAUUGUAUUUAUAAACUUACACAAACAUACAAGAAAAACUCAGUGUUUGAAAAAAUACAAAACAAUUUUCUGUCUUAUUUUUGUAUACUUUUAUAUAAAUGAAUGGUUUUAUGUCCC
Molecule: long non-coding RNA, 6603 nt
Filed under: Cinara cedri
Lineage: Eukaryota; Metazoa; Arthropoda; Insecta; Hemiptera; Aphididae
Source: RNAcentral